GACGAACGCUGGCGGCGUGCCUAAUACAUGCAAGUUGAGCGCUGAAGGUUGGUACUUGUACCAACUGGAUGAGCAGCGAACGGGUGAGUAACGCGUGGGGAAUCUGCCUUUGAGCGGGGGACAACAUUUGGAAACGAAUGCUAAUACCGCAUAAAAACUUUAAACACAAGUUUUAAGUUUGAAAGAUGCAAUUGCAUCACUCAAAGAUGAUCCCGCGUUGUAUUAGCUAGUUGGUGAGGUAAAGGCUCACCAAGGCGAUGAUACAUAGCCGACCUGAGAGGGUGAUCGGCCACAUUGGGACUGAGACACGGCCCAAACUCCUACGGGAGGCAGCAGUAGGGAAUCUUCGGCAAUGGACGAAAGUCUGACCGAGCAACGCCGCGUGAGUGAAGAAGGUUGUCGGAUCGUAAAACUCUGUUGGUAGAGAAGAACGUUGGUGAGAGUGGAAAGCUCAUCAAGUGACGGUAACUACCCAGAAAGGGACAGCUAACUACGUG
Molecule: ribosomal RNA, 497 nt
Filed under: uncultured bacterium
Lineage: Bacteria
Description: partial 16S ribosomal RNA
Rfam family: Bacterial small subunit ribosomal RNA
Source: RNAcentral